This is an RNA transcript of Carlito syrichta (Philippine tarsier), 1283 nucleotides long. It is a transcript of the gene named serine/arginine-rich splicing factor 11 pseudogene, with no coding region annotated. NCBI's taxonomy places the organism in Eukaryota, Metazoa, Chordata, Mammalia, Primates, Tarsiidae. The transcript has a single exon. The record is from RefSeq and is a predicted model, not a curated record.
GAGCAACGCCACCGUCGACCCCAGCGCGGCGGGCCCGGGCCCCAGCGGAGGGCCGGGCGGCGGCGGCACCGAGGUCAUCCAGGUGACAAACGUCUCCCAGAGCGCGAGCUCCGAGCAGAUGCGGACGCUGUUUGGGUUCCUGGGCAAGAUCGACGAGCUGCGCCUCUUCCCGCCGGAUGAGUCACCUUUGCCAGUCUCAUCUCGUGUCUGCUUUGUUAAGUUCCAUGAUCCGGACUCAGCAGUUGUGGCACAGUAUCUGACAAACACUGUAUUCGUUGACAGAGCUUUGAUAGCCGUACCAUAUGCAGAAGGAGUUAUUCCUGAUGAGACUAAGGCUUUGUCUCUGUUGCCACCAGCUAAUGCAGUGGCAGGUCUUCUGGCUGGUGGUGGACUCCUGCCUACUCCUAACCCACUUACCCAGAUUGGCGCUGUUCCACCGGCUGCUUUGGGAGCUCCCACUCUUGAUCCUGCCCUUGCUGCACUUGGGCUUCCUGGAGCUAACUUGAACUCUCAGUCUCUUGCUGCAGAUCCGUUGCUGAAGCUUAUGAGUACUGUUGAUCCCAAGUUGAGUCAUGUGGCUGCUGGUCUUGUUUCACCAAGUCUGAAAUCGGAUACCUCUAGUAAAGAAACAGAGGAAGCUAUGAAGAGAGUCCGAGAAGCACAGUCCCUGAUCUCUGCUGCUAUAGAACCAGAUAAAAAAGAAGAAAAAAGAAGGCAAUCAAGAUCAAGAUCACCUUCUAGGAGGAGAAGGACUCCCUCAUCUUCAAGACACAGGCAGUCAAGAAGCAGAUCAAGGAGGCGAUCCCCUUCUAAGUCCAGGAGUAGGCGACGAUCCAAAAGUCCAAGACGGGGAAGAUCUCAUUCCAGAGAGAGAGGUAGAAGGUCAAGGAGCACAUCAAAAACCAGAGACAAAAAGAAAGAAGACAAAGAAAAGAAACGUUCCAAAACACCACCAAAAAGUUACAGCACAGCCAGACGAUCUAGAAGUGCGCGCAGAGAGCGACGACGCAGAAGCAGCAGGAGUGGAACAAGAGCUCCUCAGAAGCUUCGGUCUCCUGAGAGAAAAUGAUCUCGCUCACCAUCGCCAAGGCGACACAAAAAAGAGAGAAAAAAAGAUGAAGACAAAGAAAGACGUAGAGAUGAAAGAGAACGGUCAACGAGCAAGAAGAAGAAGAGUAAAGAUAAGAAAAAGGACCGGGAAAGAAAGUCAGAGAGUGAUAAAGAUGUAAAACAGGUGACACGGGAUUACGAUGAAGAGAAGCAGGGGUAUGACAGCGAGAAAG